AGCGCUGCAUCACAAUGCCAAGGUGUCCUUCAUGAUCUCAGGGGCCAUUGUGAAAACACCUGUGUGCCAGGCAGCCCUGUGAAGAAGGUGGAAGUAGGCAUCACAGAGUCAGGAACAGUGAUGGGUCUGGUUCCACUCCGGAGAGGCAGGUUGUGGGGGUGGGUCUGGAUACUGAUUGUGGCUGCAGGGCCAGCAUGCCAGGGCCUUCAGAAUCCUCCAGUGGUUCAUGGAGACGGACAGGAAAGUGCCCUUGAGGAGACAGACAUCCAUCGCAACAUAAGAAGAGGAGGAAGCUGAUGCAUGAGGGUCCCUGAGAAGAAGGAGCAUAGAGGGACCCAGAGCUGUGCGAAGGAAGGGGCUUGGGGACAGUAGGGCCCUUCUCUGUCAAAUCAGGAGAACGAGGGAAGGUGGGAGACAGAUGGCAGCAAUGGGAGAUUGAGGAGAUGCCCUCUGAUGUCCUCCCUUUCCUGAGAGGUGGAAGGUGACGCCAUCUGUGGAAGUUUCUCUGUUCCUGGAACCAGACCUCUCAGACUCAGCUUCCCCAGGAAUGUCCUUCUGACAUCACUGCGAGUGAGAACUCUCUGGGGCCCCCCUCCUCCCCCCGCCCACCUGUCCUGCACACCUGCUGCAAUAACCUCUCUAGAGUGGCUGUGGCUGUGUCACCUCCAUGCAGCUGCCCCUUUUGCAGCGCCCAGUACCUAGAAAUAAAGCUCUUAGGUCUUCUUACUU
Molecule: long non-coding RNA, 729 nt
Organism: Callithrix jacchus (white-tufted-ear marmoset)
Lineage: Eukaryota; Metazoa; Chordata; Mammalia; Primates; Cebidae
Source: RefSeq, a predicted model, not a curated record